RNAcentral lists this ribosomal RNA (251 nucleotides) under uncultured prokaryote. RNAcentral describes it as "partial 16S rRNA". It matches the Rfam family "Bacterial small subunit ribosomal RNA", at positions 525 to 775 of the family's 1533-position model. The record is from RNAcentral.
ACGUAGGAUGCGAGCGUUGUCCGGAAUCAUUGGGCGUAAAGAGUUCGUAGGCGGCAUGUCAAGUCUGGUGUUAAAGCCCGGGGCUCAACCCCGGUUUCGCACCGGAUACUGGCAAGCUAGAGUGCAGAAGAGGCAAGGGGAAUUCCCAGUGGGGCGGUGGAUUGCGGGGAUGUGGGGGGGAGGACCGAGGGCGUGAGGGCCUAGUUGGGUUGUUUCUUCCGCUGGGGAACGUAAGUCGUUGGUUAUGGUGG